This is a long non-coding RNA of Xiphias gladius (swordfish), 2855 nucleotides long. RefSeq lists it as uncharacterized. The record is from RefSeq and is a predicted model, not a curated record. NCBI's taxonomy places the organism in Eukaryota, Metazoa, Chordata, Actinopteri, Istiophoriformes, Xiphiidae. The transcript is spliced from 3 exons.
CAAAAUCUUUACUCAACCCGGUGGUUAUUUGUUUAUGUCAACAAAGCGGACAGGCAGCUGAGUCCGCCGAAGCCUGAUGCAGCCGAAAUUAAAAGACUGCGCCGACUAAAGCUGAGUUUCGGGAAGGGAAGAGAUACGGGACAAGACGUGAAGACUGAGAGAAAAGAAGAGGUGAUGGAGAGAGGAUGAGAGAUGAAGAGCAGGCCUGCAGCCUACAUUACUGAUUCACGUACGUGAUCCACAACUUCCCAGAGGACAUGCAAGGAGCCAGGGAAUGUGUCCUUGUUACUCACCAAGCAAAGACUGUUAUGUUCUUGUAACAGGAAGCCGUGAGCUAAGACAUCUACUGGCUUGCCUUUACAAAAUCCUUAGGCUUUCUCAAAGAAAGAGGUAACAAAAGAAACAGGGCAGAAUCAAAACUGUAGGACAGUACUAAAUAUGUGUCAACAGUGGUAUUCACAUCUCCUGAGGUCAUGAUGAUUUUUUAAAAAUCUUUUUUUUGUAUCUUGUAUAUAUAAUUUAUUGCUUCUAACCAGUUCAGUAUAUCAUAAUUCACUUUUCAAACAAUUAUAGUCAAAGUCAUUUGCUGAGUCAGGCCACAUCAAAAUACAAAUGACAGCUUUCACUAUGUGUCAAAACUUCUUCCACACAAAGUAAUGGAAAAGCUGUUAUAAAAUAUUCUUAUGGGAGAGAUUCUUAUGAUAUGACAGAGUGUAAUUGAUCACGUCCCUGUGGCUCUCUCCUGUCUAAGCUCCAUAUGUGUCUUAAGAUGAGACAGGGUCAAGGCCAGGGACAACUGCAAGGCGCUUGUUAAGUGUCGGAGGCUCGUGCCGCUGGGACCUCUGAGCCAUUCCUGGCAUCUUGCUCGAGCAGGCCCCCUGCAGCACGCCUGGGGGGUCCUUUCCCAUGCUGUCCCUCUCAUCCAUUGCCGCCGUCAUAUUAUGUCUAGGCCUCUCCAUGCUCCAAGCUCAAGAGACUCUUGAUUGUAUAGAAACCAAAAAUAAACAAAUCAACAAAACAAAAGGGGAAAGGUGGACAAAGAGAGAGCAGGCUGCAUCAAUCUCAAAGGCUGUCAGCCUUUGAGAUUUGGAAUGAUUCCACUCACCAACGCUUAGCCACACACCCUGUGUAUAUCUGUGACACUGUCAUCUAAACUCUGACUGAACAUGUAGUGUCUGUACUGCGAUGAUACUAAAUAACUCAGAUACCUUAGGAGGCAUUAGAUCAUCAACACAUCCUUUUAUCAUGUCUGUUUCGAUAAUAGAAAUAUGAUGUACCAGUUUUUUAGUGUGCCAAAUGUUAAAAUAAAAACAAACACUAAAUUUCUGACUUGUAACAAGGUAAUAGGGAGUUUCUGUAUAAUGUUUUCAUGAGACGAUAUGUAUUAAUAUGUUCCAUUGUUUUAAAGUUUUGCUACUGGGCUUCAAUAGGCUUUUGUAAGCCCUGUUUUUGCAGACAUGCUGAAACAGGACAUAAAUUAUCAGCCAUGGAAAUCACACAAGAACAGGUUUCGUAUCAUUGACACACAAAAAUAAAUACUUCAUCUCCUAGCAGAUAGCAUCUAGUUAUAAAUAUGAUUAUUGAUACGACAGGAUUCAGUGCAAAAACAGCUGGAUGUGUUGUCUCUGCUCACACUUUUCGACGGAGUAUCUGUCCUUCAUCUGUGAACAAAAUAAUUCAAUCCCACAAGAUGAUUAUAAAUGUUCUGAUGUCAUCACAGAAAUUGUCACUGAGACACUGCAGUGUUGUGGCUAUAUCCAAGGAAAUACAGCAACAUCUCAUAGAGAUCUUGAUGAAGUUGUGAGUAGCGCAAGGUACAAGAUUUAUUCCAGAGAAAAGGUCUUUAAAUGUAGAUUAUUUAAACACAGUAUUUUGUAAUUACUUAAGAAAAAGAAAGAUUUUCUAGGGUCAAAGUGUUUUGUUUUUUUAAAUGUCGGGAGGUCAAAGGUGGUCAGGAUUAAGAGUUCGGGUAUAGGAGCCGUCCUUUAUGUAGUUUAAGCACAAGCAUUCACAGCAUACAAUUUGCCUCUUUAAUCUCCUGAUGAUAGAUGACUUGACGUUCAAUAAUCCAUUAAAAAAGCUUUGUUGAGCACAACUCAGCUAUGUGGGCCAACAGAGAAUAAAUUGUGUGCAAAUUGUCUGCAUUAGUGAUGGUAUGAUUCUAAAGUUUUUGAAUGAAGUGAUGGGAAGAGAUAUUUUUAUACUUUUUUGUCAAACCUUGUUCUAUACACAACUGUGUCAUUAACACUGUUUUCUACAGCCUGUUUAUUUGACACAUAGGUGUCAUGGAAGAUUUACUGGCUAUACAACAGAGCCAUAAACUCAAUGUUAGCUUCAGAGAAUGUCAGUCCUGAAAACACCCAACCAUCUGUAGGACUAUGUAAAGCCCCAAUAAAACCAAUGAGUUAUUGUGAGGAUUUAUUAUUAUGUAGAGGUAGAUAGUUUCAGGUCAAACUCCUGCUUCAGCUGGAUGCUACACAGAGUGUGGAAUCUUUAAUGAGGGGUUAUCAUGCUCCAUGUUUGUUACCAAUGCAGCACACCUGGUAAAGACCACUCCUACUCAUAUUGCAAGCCUACCAUUAUUGGACACCUGCUGUUGUUCUUGUUUUGGAAUGACUCACGAGCCACACAUCAAUGAAGGGCAUGAGGAAUUAAUGAGAAAAGGGAAGGAGGGCAUCCUGGCUGUUGGCACAUUCACAUCUGGCCGUAAAUUUUUAGAAUUACUGACACAUGAGAGCAUUGUGCAUUGUGCUUCUGAUGAUUGUCAUCAGUGCAGAUAAAUUGUAUAACAGCGGAUAUGGACAAGUGUUUUUUUACAAUGUUGUUUACAGCCUAUAUAUACACAAUAGAUCCAG